RNAcentral lists this long non-coding RNA (849 nucleotides) under Heterocephalus glaber (naked mole-rat). RNAcentral's name for it is "lncRNA (ENSHGLG00000037906.1)". The record is from RNAcentral. Lineage: Eukaryota; Metazoa; Chordata; Mammalia; Rodentia; Bathyergidae.
GCUCACAUGUUCCAACCAAAUGGAUUUGCAAGUAAUUAACACAUGGAAGGUCAGCUCACUUCUCCAGACCUCCAUUUCUCGGGUGUCAAUGAGGAUAAAAAAACACUCACCCUUCAGUGAACUGAAGAGCCACAGAAAACCUGCCUCCUGCCUCCCAUGGCGGGAGGAUAGCGCUCAGCCCACGGAUGUCUCACUGCUGCCAGUUAAGUUUCAAGCAGUGGCUUAUCAACUGAGGCUGCCACUGGAGAGAGGGCUGAGGAAGCUGGAAGAAACCCUGCACUGCUUCCCCAGCACUGUCAGCAGCAAGGAGCAGAGGCUCCCCCAGGAGCAACCCCCGAUGUGGAACUGGCCAUUCAAGCAGCAUACGGAGACACUGUGACUAGGAGGAUGUCUCGGUUUGAACCGAACACAGUGCAGAUGGUCACUGCCAGCACGUGGCCCAUGCAGAGUGACCGGGACCUCAGAGGCCCCGCCCAUAUUGUCCUAUUCUCCUUUUCUUCAAUGCUACAACGUUACAGUUUCCUGGAUGAUCACAGCAAAUAGAUGCUACAAAAUUGUACUUCCCAUGAAAAAUCCCUUUUCUAAAAGUUAAAUAUUUUACGGAACCUCGUUAUGCAAGAUAGAUCCAAAUGCCAUCUUAUUAGAAUAAGUCAUUAAAUGUCCAUGUAUAUGUAAUAUUGUAUUUAAUAAAUACAGUAAGAAAAAUUCAAUAAGCCCUGUGCAAUUGUAAGAUCACCAACCCCAUGUAUGCCUCACCCACCCUCAACAUUUAUUAUUCCUCCUUGUAUAACGCUGCUUUCUCAUACUCCUGCCCACCCUCUAAUGAAUAUUUUAAAGCUUAUAUGUAUC